RNAcentral lists this ribosomal RNA (423 nucleotides) under uncultured bacterium. Its description in RNAcentral is "bacterial SSU rRNA". It matches the Rfam family "Bacterial small subunit ribosomal RNA", at positions 466 to 892 of the family's 1533-position model. The record is from RNAcentral.
AUAAUGACGGUACCCUAGGAGGAAGCCCCGGCUAACUACGUGCCAGCAGCCGCGGUAAUACGUAGGGGGCGAGCGUUGUCCGGAAUUAUUGGGCGUAAAGGGUUCGCAGGCGGUUUUUUAAGUCAGAUGUGAAAGGCUACGGCUCAACCGUGGUAAGCAUUUGAAACUGAAAGACUUGAGUUAAGGAGAGGAAAGUGGAAUUCCUAGUGUAGCGGUGAAAUGCGUAGAUAUUAGGAGGAAUACCAGUGGCGAAGGCGACUUUCUGGACUUAUACUGACGCUGAGGAACGAAAGCGUGGGGAGCAAACAGGAUUAGAUACCCUGGUAGUCCACGCCGUAAACGAUGAGCGCUAGGUGUUGGGGGUCAAACCUCGGUGCCGCAGCUAACGCAUUAAGCACUCCGCCUGGGGAGUACGUACGCAAG